AAACAACGAAAUGAAGGUUUGAUGAAAUUCAGGUUGAAAGUUUCUUUAUUUAUUUUUCUUUCUUUUUUCAUAUUUUUGUGUCUUUUUGCUCACAUAAAAAAUAAAACAUGGCGGAGUUUGUUAAUGUCUUUCCGAAGUUGUUCUCUCGGUCCAAAUGGGACCAAAUACCGCAAAAACAAAACAAAACGAAAAACAAAAAACGUCAAAACACAAAACCGCUCACAUUUUAACGCUUUUAAAUAAUUCUAAUGCAAAAUUAGCAUGAAUGGAGAAGAGGAGAAAAGAGAGACAGGAAAAUACCGACACACACACACACACACACACACACACACACACACACACACACACACACACACACACGCACACACACACACACGCGCGCGCGCGCGGAACAGGAGGAGAAAACGAAAAGUCGGGAAAAAGCGGUGAAUGCGCGCGGGGUGAAGCGGCUCGAAAGCGCGUCUGAUCGCAGUCACUUACUUGUCUGAGUCCUGUGACAUGGUGAUGUUUUUGGCCUCCUCGGCGAUAAUCCUGGAGGAACUGGACUUUCAGAAAAGAGCGAGGGACUAGAGCCACACUCCCACGGCUCUGAGCUGAGAAAGCGUCCACAGAUCAGGCACGAACAUGCAGACAGACAUGACCAGUGAGGAGAUGUUAAAGUGAGACACGACCCACACCUCAAGAUAACACACAGUGAGCUACACGGCGCGUCAGACGGCUGAGUCACUCACUUCAUGGAGGUAAUUAAAUAUUAUGACAUAUUUAGAUCUGUUACACAGUGGGAAGGCAUUUAUAUGGGUAGGGUAUGGUAAGUAAUAUGGGUAGUAAACUCUGGCUUAAUAAUAUCUCCAUAAAGAGCAUUAUAAAGAUAGAUAGAUA
Long non-coding RNA from Tachysurus fulvidraco (yellow catfish), 879 nucleotides. RefSeq lists it as uncharacterized. Lineage: Eukaryota; Metazoa; Chordata; Actinopteri; Siluriformes; Bagridae. The transcript is spliced from 3 exons. The record is from RefSeq and is a predicted model, not a curated record.